RNAcentral lists this small nuclear RNA (106 nucleotides) under Castor canadensis (American beaver). Lineage: Eukaryota; Metazoa; Chordata; Mammalia; Rodentia; Castoridae. The record is from RNAcentral.
GUGCUCGCUUCAGCAGCGCAUCGACUAAAAUUGGAACUAUACAGAGAAGAUUAGCACGGCCUCUGCGCAAGAUGACACGCAAAUUCAUGAAGCGUUCCAUAAAAAG